AGAGCGCUCCAGGCUGGGUUCCCGGGCCCCGCCGCGCCGCCUCCUUCCCAGCUCGCCCGCCCAGGCCUGGCCUCCUGCUUUUCCAUUUGAUUCCCUGCCUCUUUCUAUUCGGACUGGAAUGCCGGGCCAGGCUCCGGGGCGCGCCGCUGCGGCAGCCGCACCUCGCAGGUCCCCCGGCCGACCCCGACGCGGAAGCGGCGGCCCUCCUCGCCGUCGGGGAGCCAGGGAGCCGGGGACGAGACAGGUUCUCGCUAUGUUGCCCAGCCUGAGGCUGGGCAGCCCCGAGUCAUCCCAAACUCCUGGGCUCCAGCAAUCAUCCCACCUUGGCCUCCCAAAGCGCUGGGACAACAGGCGUGAACCACUGCACCCAAUGUUUACAUUCCUGAUCUCCUUUAAUCGCCACCAUAACUAUCAGCUGGUACAUGCUAUUAUCUCCUUUUUUGCAGAUCAGUCACAUAAGGCUUAGAGGAUCAAGGAUCCUGCCCAGAUGACUUACCGAAAUGUUACAGAUUAAGUUGGUGUGGUAACCUGGGCUGAGCACUCUGGGAGAGGAAGAGAAGAGAGAAGACAGGAAACAACUGAACUAUGACCAAUCCCAGCACGGAGGCCCAGAAAACUUUAAGAUUUGAGUAUUAAUGUCUCAAGGUCAGGAGCAACCUCAAGGCUAAAACUCAGAUCUCAGGACUCAAUUUCACAGAAGUUCCACUAUAAAGGCAAUAAUCUAAAGCUUUAAAUGAUAUGAAAAUUUUGUAAUAAGAGUUCAGUAUUUCUGCCAACAUUGGCGCAUGGAUUGCAAAGUUCACAGGAUUGAAAACACCAUCGACAUAAUGGAAAUUGAACAGCAUCUGAUUACUGAGUGCUAUAUCAGCAAGUUAAAAGGAUCUUUUGCAUACCUUUUAAUGGUAUAUAUCCUAAAACUGAAGUGUUCAAUAUAGACAUCCAGAUUGAAACUCAGGCAGUGAAUUACAUACACAACAAAUCAGUUGAACAUGGCAGAGCUUGUCAGACUUAUGAAAGAUUAAAUACAUUUUACAUUUCCACAAGUGUGGUAUUCACAGGUCUAAAUUGGAAAAUUCUUGGGUUGAAGAAGAAUAAUCAUAAUCUUAGCUUCACUCAUUGAGGAAACAUUAUUCAGGGAUGAUAAGAGGUAAAAUCUUAAAAAUAUUGACAAGCUAAUGAGAGAACUUUGAGGUAAGCUGAUAUGCAGGUAUAGUUAGGACUGGGAAAAGCAAGAAAAUGGAAGGAUGGGUUAGAGGGUGGCACUACACGGCUGAUAUAGUUUGGAUAUCUGUCCCCAUCCAAAUCUCAUGUUAAAUUGGAAUCCCCAAUUCUGGAGGCAGAGCUAGAAGGCAGAGCCUGGUGGAAGGUGUUUGCAACAUGAGGAAGGAUCCCUCAUGGCUUGGUGCUGUCUUAACAAUAAUGAGUGAGUUCUCCCGAGAUCUAGUCAUUUAAAAGGGUGUGGCACCUCCCCCCCCCCCCGCCCCCGCCAACUCUCUCUUGCUCCUACUCUGCCAUAUGAAUGUUUGUUCCCCCUUUGCCUUCAGCCAUGAUUAGAAGCUUCAUUAGGACUCCUCAGAAGUAGAUGUUGGUGCCAUACUUCCUGUAUAGCCUGUAGUACCAUGAACCUCUUCGCUUUAUAAAUUACCUGGUCUUGGGGAUUUCUUUAUAGCAAUGCAAGAAUGACCUAAUACAGAAAACUGGUACUGAGAAGUGAGUCAUUGCUGUAGAGAUACCUGAAAAUGUGGAAGCAGCUUUGGAACUUGGUGACAGGCAGAAGUUGGAAGAGUUUGUAGGGCUCAGAAGAAGACAGAAAGAUGAGGGAAAGUUUGGAAUUUCUUAGGGACUGGUUAAAUGGUUGUGACCAAAAUGCUGAUAGCUAGGACAUGAACAGAAUGCACCCAAGCACUUUGCUAAGGUCACACAAUGUUAACGCCUUAGCAAAGAGCUUAGCUGCCUUCUGUUCAUGCCCUAGGAAUCUGUGGAAGUUUGAACUUGAGAGUGAUGAUUUAGGGUAUCUGGCAGAAGAAAUGUCUAAGCAGCAAAGUGAUCAAGAAGUGGUGUGGCUGCUUCUAGCCACUUAUAUUCAGAUGUGGGAGCAAAGACAAAAGGUAGAACUUAUAUUUAAAAGGGAAGCAGAGCAAAAAAAGUUUGGAAAAUUUGCAGCCUGGCCAUGUGGCAGAGAAAGAAAAAAGCUUUUUCAGUAGAGGAAUUCAAGCAGACUGUGGAACAAUUACUUGCUAGAGAUGUUUGCAGGAUUAAAGGGGAGCCAAGUGCUACUAUCCAAGACAAUAGGGAAAAAGCCUUGAAAGCAUUUCAAAGAACUUCAGAGUGGCUUCUCCCAUCACAGGCCCAGAAGCUUAGGAGGAGAGAAUAGAUUCAUGGACUGGGCCCAGGGCCAUGGUACCUUGCACAGCCUUGGGACACUGCUCACCACAUCCUAGCUGCUCCUGUUCCCACUCUUGCCAUGGCUCAAAGGGGCCUACAUACAGCUUGGACUGCCACUUUGGAGAAUGCAAACAGUAAACCUUGGUAGCUUUCAUGUGGUGUUAAGCCUGCAGGCACACAAAGUGCAAGAAUCGUGGAUUCUUGGCAGCCUCUGCCUAGAUUUCAGAGGACAUAUGGAAAAGUCUGUUUGUCCAGGCAGAAGCCUGUUACAGGGGUGGAGCCCUUACAAAGAACCUCUACUAGGGCAGUAUAGAGGGGAAAUGUGGGGUUGGAGGCUCCAACAGGGUCACCGCUGGGGCACUGCCUAAUGGAACUAUACGAAGUGGGCCACUGCCCUCCAGACCUAAGGAUGAUAGAUCUACCAGCAGCUUGUAUUCUGCACCUGGAAAAGCCACAGGCACUCAACUGCAGCCCAUGAGCGCAGCCUUGGAUUCUUUACCCUGCAAAGCCAUAGGGGCAGGACUGCUCAAGGCCUGGGGAGCCCACCCCUUGUACCAGUGUGGCCUGGAUGUGGAACAUGAUGUCGAAGAUUAUUUUGGAACUUUAAGAUUUAGUGACUUCCCUACUGGGUUUUGGAGCUGUGUGGAUCCUGUAGACCCUUUCUUUUGGCCAAUUUCCCCCUUUUUGGGAUGGAAACAUUUACCCAAUCCCUAUACCCCCAUUGUAUCUUGGAAGUAAAUAAUUUGUUUUUGAUUUUACAGGCUUAUAGGUGAAAGUGACUUCCCUUGUCUCCAAUGAGGCUUUGGACUUUGGACUUUUGAGUUAAUGCCAGAAUGAGUUAAGAUUUUGGGGGCCUAUUGGAAAGGCAUGAUUGUAGUUUGCAAUGUGAGAAGGACAUGAGAUUUGGAGAGGCCAGAGGUGGAAUGGUAUAGUUCAGAUAUUUGACCCAGCCCAAAUCUCUUGUUGAAUUGUAAUCCCCAAUGCUGGAGGUGGGGCCUUCCUUGUAUGAUGUGUUUGGAACAUGCAGGCAAAUUCCUCAUGGCUUGGUGCUGUUUUCAUGAUAGUGAGUGAGUUCUCCUGAGAUGUGGUCAUUUAAAAGUGUAUGGCACCUCCCCCCACUCUCUAUCUCUCUUGCUCCUGCUCUGCUAUAUGAGACACCUGUUCCCCGUUUGCCUUCCACCAUGAUUGAAAGCUUUGUGAGACCUCCUCAGAAGCCAAGCAGAUGCCAGUGCCAUGCUGCCUGUAUAGCCUGCAGAACCACAAGCCAAGUAAACCUCUUUUCUUUAUAAAUUACUUAGUCUCAGAUAUUUCUUUACAGCAAUGUAAGAAUGGCCUAAUACAAUAGCCUAAACUAAUUUGAGGGAGGUGAUGUGUCUCUUGCUACACAAAGUAUGGUUCAUGGACUAACAGCAUUGGCGUCACCAGGAGGUUGUCAGAAGUACAGACUUUCAGUUCCCUUCCCAGACCUAAUAAAUCAGACUCUCCAAAAAGUUUUGGGAGCACUGCUCCAGCCAAUGACUUGUGGUAGAAUUCUGUUUUUGCCUCAACAGCAUCCAUUCUCCUUUCAGUAACAACUCCUAGCUUCUACUUUGGGGAACUUUCCAUCUCCCACACUCAGACCUAGGGUUCAGAUGUGGCUAACCUAGCCCUGUGCAGCCAGAGGAAGGCACAUGAUCCAGGCCUGGCCAAUGACAGUGCCUUAUGACCCAGCCAGAGUGACUGGUUCAGCAAAGAGGGUGUAAUAUGAGCUGAGCCAAUGAGACUUAGUCCUGGUACUUUUGGGAAAGAAAUGCUCCCCUUCCUGAGUUUGCUGAGCUGAUAAGAUAUUCAUCUACAGCAGCCAUCUUUCCACUACCUGAGAAUGAAGCCAACAUAGGAAAAUGGAGCUGAGAAAUGAGAGAGAUCCUAACAAAUUCAUUUAUCCACUCACUACCGGAUCUAAAUCCUGGGCUUUUUAGUAACUCAAGCCAGUAUAGUCUUCAUUUCUUUGGCCAGUUCAAACUGGAUGUCUACUAGUUACAACUGAAAGAAUCCUAAUACAUCAGUCUCUUCCUGUCCCUGAAAUUCAUUAGGCUCAUUUUGAAUCUUUGAUAUUUCCUUUUCCUCUCUUCUUUGUCUGUGUUUAAUCCAUUUUGCAUUGCUGUAAAGGAAUACCUGAGACUCGGUAAUUUAUAAAGAAAAGAGAUUUAUUUGGCGCACAGUUCUGCAGGCUACACAAGCAUGGCACCAGCAUCUGCUCAGCUUCUGGUGAGGCCACAAGAAGCUUUAACUCAUGGCGGAAGGCGGAGGGAGAGCAGGUGUGUCAUAUGGCGAGAGAGGGAGCAAGAGAGAGGGGAGGGAGACUUCUCUUUUUUUGGCAAUCAGAUCUCGUGGUAACUAAUAAAGCAAAAAUUAAUUCAUUACUGUGGCAAGGACACCAAGCCAUUCCAAAAAGAUUCACCCCCAUGACCCAAACACCUCCCACCAGGUCCCACCUCCAGUGUUGGAGAUCGCAUGGGAGACAAAUAUCCAAACUAUAUCACUCCUCUCUAAACCAGUUUAGAGGGUUCAAACUUUGCCUUCUCCAGAUUUGCCUCUUCCCUGAGACCUUCCCUGAUAGCUUCCCACACAUACUGCUCUCCCCAGUCCAUCAAUGAAUUCCUGCAUCCAGGUGGCUAAUGGUUCCAUACUUACCCUUCAGCUGUGACCAGUUUUGUGUCCACCUCUGUCUUCCUCCCUCUUUUUGCUUAGAUGACACCCACUCAACCUCUAGAUGUCCCCUGCUACAGGUGGGAUGCCCUUGUUAUAUGUUCUUAUAGCACCACCUGUCUUCCCUUCAUGGCACUUAUAUUUGUAAAUGUAUUCAUGCCAUAGAGUACUGCAUGAAGGCAGUCGAGUGGGUGGUUCAAACGUAGACCCUGGUGUCAGCCUGCCUGGACUAGCUAUAUGACCUUGGGCAAGUUUCUUAACCUCUCUAUACCUCAAUUUCCUUACUUAUCAGGUGAAGAUAUUAAGAGUACCUCCUCAGAGUGUGAUUUUGUUAAUUUAUGUAAAGUACUGAGAACAUGCCUGGCAUGUAAUAGGCACUGUAUAAGUGAUAUCUAUUAUUAUUGUACAUGGGAUUAUUUGAUGUCUGUAUCCCAUCCCCCAUCAGACAUGAAAAAAUAGGUCUGCUUUUGAUCACCAUUUUACACUUAAAGAAAAGGGUCAGGCUGGGCAUGGUGGCUCACACUUGUAAUUCCAGCCCUUUGGGAGGCUGAGGCAGGUGGAUUGCUUGAGCCUAGGAGGGAGGGAGGGAAAGAAAGGAAGAAAGAAAGAGAGAGAGGGGGAGAGAGAGAGAGAAAGAAAGAAAGAAAAGAAAUAAAAGAAAGAAAGAGGAAAAAGGGAAGGAGGGAGGGAGGGAAAGAGAAAGAGAAAAGAGGGAGAGAGAAAGAAAAAGAAAAGAAAGAAAGAAGGGAGGGAGGGAGGGAAAGAAGGAAGGAAGGAAGGGGAAGGGGAAGGAGAGGUCCAUAGGAGUAGCCAAUAAAUUGAAUACUGAAUAUUUGGACAAUUGCCUCUCUCUAAGUGCUCUAGAAGCUUCUAGAGGGAAGGAAUCUUGUCUUAUACAUUAAAAAAAAAAAAAAAAAGUCUUAUCCAGUCUGAAGUACGGUGCCUGGCACAUUAAUUCCUUUCCUCUUUUCCCCUCACUGCCAAAUGAGCUAUUGCCACUCACUUGAUAUGCAAACACUGGCUGUCUAGUAUGGAAAAAUAUUUUUCUGGCUGUAGACUUGAGUUUGAUUACCAAAUUGAUUUCUGUGAAUUACAUUUCAAUUCUGUGCAGAACUUUUUGACAGCCCUUUAAUCACCAUGUAUCCAAUAAAUAUUUAUUAAAGACAUAUUCUGUGCCAGACACUGUGUGAGGCACUUGCCAUCCUGGGAUAAAAGAAGGUGGAAUCAGCGCUUACAUAACUCAAUUUCUAAUGCAGCAUACAUUGGCAUUGUUAAUUAAUGUCUUUGCUACUUUUUGUGUGCUAUUAGUAUAAGGAUAAGAUAACUUUGGCAUGAGUAUCAAAUUAGAAUUCCUACAAUGGAAACUACAUCUAAAACCAUGGGGGUAUUUACGGGUGGUUAAGAUUCCCUAAGUUAGCCAAGUAGGGUGGUACACGCCUAUAGUCCCAUGUACUUGGGAGGCUGUGACGAGAGGAUCACUUGAGCCCAGAAGUUCGAGGUCAGCCUAGCUGACAUAGUGAGACACCAUCUCUAUUAAAAAAUAAUAAUAAUAAAAGUUGUUUAAGCCUUUGAACAAUUGGCAUAUUGUGAACUGCCAAGUAAAAGGCCAUUGAAGGAUUUUUAAGCUAAGUUGGAACGUGAUUAGAUUUUUAUUUGAUAAUACCUUUUGAUUAACUGAAAGAAUGGAUUCCUCUAGUUGGCUACACUCUGGGGAAAGAGGGUUAAAAGAUAGCAACAUUUUUCUUGGUGAGGCCAGUUAGAAAUCUGUGGUGAGAGAGUCCCACAGUUGUUGAUAGUCUGAAUUUAGGGGAGUAGCCGUGGACAAAGAGAGGUGGACAUACUGAAGACCUUUUUUGGAGGUAGUCAGCUGAAUUUGUGAUUGACUGGGAUGAAGGACAAGGGCUAGUCCCAGAUUUCUGAGAUUUCUGACUGGAAUGAAGAGAUAUGUCAUUUUGGGUUUUUUGUUUUGUUUUGUUUAACAAUUGGGAAUGCUGAAGGAGAAGGUUCAGGUGAGGUAAUGAGGGAGAAAUGAGUUUGGUUCAGAAAUGUCGACUUUGAGAUAACCGUGAAACACCUGAAUCAUUAUAUCAAGUAAGCCCUUCACUAUACACAUGUAGGGCUCAGAAGAAAAGUCUGCACUGUAGAAAUAAAUCUAAGAGUGAUUAAUAUAUAGAAGAUAAUGGAGGACAUGCAAUUAUGGAUUAAAAUGCCCAAAGAGUGUCAAGUGAGAUACAGACAAGCGUGUAGUCAUGAAGAGCUCCACCAUGCAGAGAGCAGGUGGAUAAAGAGUUACCAAUGAAAAUCAAAAGAGAAAUUCCAAAGUGGCAGAAGAAAAGCCAAAUUGGCCUGGCACAGUGGUUCAUACCUAUAAUCCCAGCAUCUUGGGAGGCUGAGGCAGGAGAAUCGCUUGAGGCCAGGAGUUCGAUACCAGCCUGGGCAACAUAGUGAGAUACCCAUCUCUACAAAAAAAAAAAAAAAAAAUUUAAUUAGCCAGGCAUGGUGGCACAUGCCAGGAGACCUAGUUACUCUGGAGGCUGAGGACAGAAGAUUGCUUGAGCUCAGGAGUUUCAGGCUGCAGUGAGCUAUGAUCACACCACUGCACUCCAACCUGGGUGACAGAGCGAGACCCUGUCUCUAAAACUAAAUGAAUCAAUUUUUUUAAAAAAGAAAGUUGAAAUUAACACACAACAUCCCAAAAGCCAAAGAGUAUUUCAAGAUGGAGGGAAUAGUCAAAUGUAUCAAAUACAGCCAAGUGAUCAAGGAAGAUAAAUAAUAAUAUUAACAAUGGUCACUUCUUGAACAAGACUUUAAGAUGCAUUUAAUCCUUUUGAUGACCCAUGAAGGAGGUAAUAUUAAAAUCCCUAUCGCAAGGACCACUUGGGGCCAGGAGUUUGAGGCCAGCCUGGGCAACAUAGCAACACUCUGUCUCUUAAAAAAUAAAAAAAUUAGCCAGGCAUGGUGGCACACACCUGUAGUCCUAGCUACUCGGGAGACUAAGGCUGAAGGAUUGCUUGAGCCCAUGAGUUAGAGGCUGCAAUGAGCUAUGAACAUACCACUGCACUCCAGCCUGGAUGAC
This 8149-nucleotide long non-coding RNA is filed under the name Homo sapiens (human). RNAcentral describes it as "non-protein coding USP46-AS1:11". Lineage: Eukaryota; Metazoa; Chordata; Mammalia; Primates; Hominidae. The record is from RNAcentral.